GGCGGGGUAGCUCAGUUGGUUAGAGCAGCGGAAUCAUAAUCCGCGUGUCGGGGGUUCGAGUCCCUCUCCCGCUACCA
This 77-nucleotide transfer RNA is filed under the name Aureimonas sp. Leaf427. RNAcentral's name for it is "tRNA-Met". It matches the Rfam family "tRNA". Rfam says of the family: Transfer RNA (tRNA) molecules are approximately 80 nucleotides in length. RNAcentral also lists the same sequence under 3 other names. The record is from RNAcentral. Lineage: Bacteria; Pseudomonadati; Pseudomonadota; Alphaproteobacteria; Hyphomicrobiales; Aurantimonadaceae.